UAAUACGUAGGUGGCGAGCGUUGUCCGGAAUUACUGGGUGUAAAGGGCGUGUAGGCGGGAGAGCAAGUCAGAUGUGAAAACCCAUGGCUUAACUGUGGGACUGCAUCUGAAACUGUUUUUCUUGAGUACUGGAGAGGAAAGUGGAAUUCCUAGUGUAGCGGUGAAAUGCGUAGAUAUUAGGAGGAACACCAGUGGCGAAGGCGACUUUCUGGACAGUAACUGACGCUGAGGCGCGAAAGCGUGGGGAGCAAACAGG
RNAcentral lists this ribosomal RNA (256 nucleotides) under uncultured archaeon. RNAcentral's name for it is "partial 16S ribosomal RNA". It matches the Rfam family "Bacterial small subunit ribosomal RNA", at positions 521 to 776 of the family's 1533-position model. The record is from RNAcentral.